AAAUGCUUCAUCAUUUACCUAUUAUACAUCUGAUACUUACGUGAAACUUACAUAACAAUAUUACGAUAUGUUACGUGACUGACCAAGUUACAUCAGAAAAAGCAUUUGUACGAAAAAUGACAGGAACAUGUGUAGUUUCCUGUUAUCGUAGAUAAAUGUGCAAUUUGUAAAUUCAUUAAUAAGACGAGGCUCUUAAAAUCCCAUUCAAGUUAUUACAAACAAAUUGAUGGGAUCAAAAGAUCAAACGCACCUUAACAUUAAAGUACUUAGAAC
RNAcentral lists this long non-coding RNA (273 nucleotides) under Mytilus galloprovincialis (Mediterranean mussel). The record is from RNAcentral. Lineage: Eukaryota; Metazoa; Mollusca; Bivalvia; Mytilida; Mytilidae.